This 468-nucleotide ribosomal RNA is filed under the name uncultured bacterium. RNAcentral's name for it is "partial 16S ribosomal RNA". It matches the Rfam family "Bacterial small subunit ribosomal RNA", at positions 28 to 507 of the family's 1533-position model. The record is from RNAcentral.
GACGAACGCUGGCGGCGUGCUUAACACAUGCAAGUCGAACGGUGAAGCUCCAGCUUGCUGGAGUGGAUCAGUGGCGAACGGGUGAGUAACACGUGAGCAACCUGCCCCUGACUCUGGAAUAAGCGCUGGAAACGGCGUCUAAUACUGGAUACGAGAAGGGUCCGCAUGGGCACUUUCUGGAAAGUUUUUCGGUUGGGGAUGGGCUCGCGGCCUAUCAGCUUGUUGGUGAGGUAAUGGCUCACCAAGGCGACGACGGGUAGCCGGCCUGAGAGGGCGACCGGCCACACUGGGACUGAGACACGGCCUAGACUCCUACGGGAGGCAGCAGUGGGGAAUAUUGCACAAUGGGCGAAAGCCUGAUGCAGCGACGCCGCGUGAGGGAUGACGGCCUUCGGGUUGUAAACCUCUUUCAGCAGGGAAGAAGCGAAAGUGACGGUACCUGCAGAAGAAGCACCGGCUAACUACGUG